Pelobates cultripes (western spadefoot toad) is the source of this 203-nucleotide non-coding RNA. The record is from the annotation of a GenBank genome assembly. NCBI's taxonomy places the organism in Eukaryota, Metazoa, Chordata, Amphibia, Anura, Pelobatidae.
GUCUUCGUUACUUUUUUGGAUUUGGAGAGUGGGAAAUCCAAGACAUCACGGUGGAGCAGGACAAUGUAGACAGUCAAUCACAACUCAUAUACCGCGUAAUAACAGUCACCCUGUGAAUUCAACAAAAAAUUACAAACGCAUCGUGUUUCACAAAGAGUAGUCAUUGCACCUCUGUUUUGUCCUCAUGCUUCGCCACCUCUGUC